RNA transcript from Mercurialis annua (annual mercury), 1131 nucleotides. It is a transcript of the gene named cadmium-induced protein AS8, with no coding region annotated. The record is from RefSeq and is a predicted model, not a curated record. The transcript has 5 exons. Lineage: Eukaryota; Viridiplantae; Streptophyta; Magnoliopsida; Malpighiales; Euphorbiaceae.
AAUGGAUGGAUGCUAAUUUUUGUUGUUUUCCAUUUCCAAAAUUAACUACUGGUAUUUAAUCAUCCUCCAUUCUUAUUUUCAUUCAUCAAUUCACACUAACACUAUGGUUGAAAUGAUCAUAAAAGGGUUAUUCAGGAGGUACGAGAGAUGGAAUCCUGUACAUCCUACUCUAGGAGCCUUUUGGGGCAUGGGACUAGGCUUUGGCUGUGGCGUCGGAUGGGGCCCUGGCUUCGGUCCUGAGGUCAUUGGUUACGUUGGUGCUGGCUGCGGUGUUGGAUUUAGUGUCGGCAUAACUUUUGCUGGUUUUGGCAUUGGUCUUCCUGCUAAUUACAUCUUUCAACUUCCUUAUAGUGCUAUUGUGGCAACAUCGAAUCAGGCAUUACCAUUUUUCCGAUCCAGUCCUCUUCUCAACGGAAAAGAUGUUACGGGGAAUGGGUUGAAUGAUGUUUCUCCUGGCAUGUCUUUCUUUCCAAGAGAAACCAGCAGAAGAUUUUCAAGUUCUAAUCAAAAAGCUUUGUUGGACAUGCAGAGGACGUUUUCCGUUCAUGCCAAGUCAUUUUCUAAAGAUUUAGAAACAUUUUGUAGCCAAUUCUUCCACCCGCGCAAAGGAUCGAAAAAUAAGCCAGGUGGUUGGUCAGUUGAUUAGAAGGUUGGAACACUGUUAGAAUGUAGAAUUUAUUUGAUUGUCUUGUUCCCCACAUCAACAUCAUUAGUAAGGAAGAAAGCUCAGUAUGAAACUAGAUACUAGAAUAGGUCCAAGAGAUUGAUGUCGAAAGUUUACGCUGUGCAAAUUACAAAGUUUGAGCACCUCACGGAAUUAGCAUUAUGAUACAAUCAGUUAACACCUUCAGAAGAUGUAGUUUUUGUCAUAGAGAUCCAUGCACACAUUUAGACACAAUCUAAGAUCGGAAAUAGAUGGAUGAUUUGUAAAGCAGAAGUUCAAAAUCUAACUUUGAAUUGGACUGACAAACUUUGGAGUAGUGUUAGACAACAGUCUCUUUAAAAUGAAACUAGUUCCUGGUCUUUUCAUCCAUGAAGCACCUUGCAGAUUAUAAUGCAUGUCAUUAUGGUGGUUGGAUUGUGUACUCAGUUCAAAUUCGAAUAAAAUUUAUAAGGUUACAUAAUUUUUUA